UACGUAGGGUGCAAGCGUUGUCCGGAAUUAUUGGGCGUAAAGAGCUCGUAGGCGGUCUAUCGCGUCGGCUGUGAAAUCCCGAGGCUCAACCUCGGGUCUGCAGUCGAUACGGGCAAACUGGAGUGUUGCAGGGGAGACUGGAAUUCCUGGUGUAGCGGUGAAAUGCGCAGAUAUCAGGAGGAACACCGGUGGCGAAGGCGGGUCUCUGGGCAACAACUGACGCUGAGGAGCGAAAGCGUGGGGAGCGAACAGG
Molecule: ribosomal RNA, 253 nt
Filed under: uncultured bacterium
Lineage: Bacteria
Description: partial 16S ribosomal RNA
Rfam family: Bacterial small subunit ribosomal RNA
Source: RNAcentral